Molecule: ribosomal RNA, 399 nt
Filed under: uncultured Escherichia sp.
Lineage: Bacteria; Pseudomonadati; Pseudomonadota; Gammaproteobacteria; Enterobacterales; Enterobacteriaceae
Description: bacterial SSU rRNA
Rfam family: Bacterial small subunit ribosomal RNA
Source: RNAcentral
AUUGAACGCUGGCGGCAGGCCUAACACAUGCAAGUCGAACGGUAACAGGAAACAGCUUGCUGUUUCGCUGACGAGUGGCGGACGGGUGAGUAAUGUCUGGGAAACUGCCUGAUGGAGGGGGAUAACUACUGGAAACGGUAGCUAAUACCGCAUAACGUCGCAAGACCAAAGAGGGGGACCCUCGGGCCUCUUGCCAUCGGAUGUGCCCAGAUGGGAUUAGCUUGUUGGUGGGGUAACGGCUCACCAAGGCGACGAUCCCUAGCUGGUCUGAGAGGAUGACCAGCCACACUGGAACUGAGACACGGUCCAGACUCCUACGGGAGGCAGCAGUGGGGAAUAUUGCACAAUGGGCGCAAGCCUGAUGCAGCCAUGCCGCGUGUAUGAAGAAGGCCUUCGGGU